RNAcentral lists this transfer RNA (73 nucleotides) under Schistosoma mansoni. The record is from RNAcentral. Lineage: Eukaryota; Metazoa; Platyhelminthes; Trematoda; Strigeidida; Schistosomatidae.
GCCAUGUGGCGCAACCAGUUAGCACGUUCGGCUGUUAACCGAAAGGUUGGUGGUUCUAGCCCACGCGGAGGUG